UGUUCUCCAAAGCUCCCCAACCACUUCGGCAUCUCUUGAAUCCAGAGAAGAAAAGGCUGCUCCAGACCUGGUGAGCAUUCUGAGGCAGGACCCAGCAGCCUGGUCAACCCCUCACUCGUCAGCCUCCUGCGAAGAGCACCGGCUGACCCUGGCUCGCCCCCUGCAUGGCCGUCCAUCAUGUGACAGACAGCCAGGGAUGAGGAAAGUGCUGAAAGAUACCCCCCAGGAAGGUGUGGCAAGAGCAAGCUCUGGAGCUCCAAGGCGGCUUUGUGACCUUGGACUGGUCACACAACAGCAUCCUGGGAACUGAGCGAUGAUUGCAGACAUCAAAGUUGUGAUAUCAAUGUCCAAAGAAGUCUCUGGGUGAGUCCCUAGAGUCCUCCCUCGGGGCAGUGCAGGCCUUGAGGUUCAAGCAGAACAGCAUGGAGAUGAGAUGGUGUAAGAGAGUCGACAGUUUCCAAGCCCACCACUCUGCCUUCUGCUUUUGCCCAACAUCCAGAGAACUGGUGAGAAGGCCAGGUGCUCCCUCCAUUGGAACUGAAGGCACGUUGGGCCCCAGCAGGCCCUGCCCAGGUGCGGGAGCCCUCUCUCUGCCUCAUCUCCAUCUGCAGUGAAUCCCAGGCAGCCACUUGACCCUAUCAUCAAGCUAUUUUCAAACCGUCUCCGAGUCUGCCCUGCCCUCUCUCGAAACCCUCUCCGCGUGAGUAAUCGCUUCCUACUCCUGGUGGACACAUGUGGUGCAUCAGCCACAACAGGUGAACCCAGCUUUGGCUGAGGGCUUGUCCUGCCUCUGUGGUUCUGUCUUGGACAUGACCCGUUUGCCCAUCGUCCUUUCCCUUCUUCCUGCCAGUGAUGGACUGACCAGCCUCUUCACAAGGAGCAAGAGCUGGUGCUACCGGUGACCGAGCAGAAGGUCAAGAGGAGCCUGGGGCCUGAUGUCCUGGCUGAAGAAUGGAUUACUGCUAUUACAGUCAGCUGGUGUCCUAGAGAUCAAGGGACCCCCGUUAGGAAAACAGUUGAGAUGUAAUCCUUCCUCUGCACAAGUUGGGACCUCAUCUAACUCCCCAUUAUUACCAUCAUCCCUGCCAUUAGAGUUUUAAUUUGUAUUGAAGAAGCUCAACAAAAACUCCAUCAAUUUGAAGAUGCAAACGUUGAUUGGCAAGGAAAGCCAGAGGGCACGUGCCUCAUGCCACCGCGGUCCAGCACACAGGUGGGAAAAAAAGGGACAGGUGGGGAAAACGAGGCACAGAGAACCCAGGAGGAGCCCAAAGCAGAAUCGCAAAUCCUGGAAUGCGGCAGAAAGAUGGGCAGAUGGGACUCCACGGUGUUGGGUCAGACAGUGGUGAAGGAAAUGGACCACCUUCUUUCACAAAGGUCUGCAGCAAUGGGACAAGGGAAAGCAAGGAGAACACAGGCCCACGUCAAGGAGAAGUGCCCGGGUUUACCCAGCCUGAGCCGCAGACUCCGUCCUGGGCCUGGGCAGCGCUCACCGUGAUGCCCUCUCUCCAUAUCAAGACAGUGGGAUCCACAGGGAAAGUCCUUCCACAGCCCUGACUGAGCUCCCAGGCUGCAGGCAUGUCCAGCAGAGCCCUGGGGACGCUGUCUGAAGGUCAGGUGGGGGCAGCGGCUCGGGGUCUGCAGCCUGCCUCUCCAGGGCCAGCAGUUUCCAGCUCAGUGUCCCUCUGCUUCCUGGCCUUGCGCCAGGCUUAGUUUUCUCUGUCAACCCAUCCCACUCUGAGGCCUGAUGUCAGAGUCGUCCCACCCUGAGCCAAAUCCUUCCCAUCACCCCUCUUUCCUUUUCUGAUGACGGUCCAACAUGGGAGCAUUCCAACCGGCGGUUCUGACCUGUCCCUCCGUGGCUGGGUGUCCAGUGGGAUCUCGGGUGAGCAGCUACGUUUGUCCAAGUCAAGGCAUCGAGACUGGGUUUGAAAGAUUGCUCUUCUCCACGACUUCCUUGCCUCACAGGGGACUUGUGCCAUCCUUGGUGUGUACAGGGACGGCACCAGCUGUUUUAACAUGGCCCACAACAUUGGGAGACAUGAAGGUGGGGCUCUCACUCUCUCAAAGUGGGGGCUGCUGGCUCAGGGGCCAGGAGUUCCUCUUAAGAAAAGGAAAAAUCCAGGUAAUUCCGUGCAGUGGCAAAGCAGACUGGGAAUGAGUUUUGUUGUUUGUUUGUUUGGGGAGGGAACACUAGUUUUAUUCAGUGAAAUGGUGCUUUACCAUCAAGGAAAGACUACCUGGUGGAAUGUUCCAGAACAGGCAGACUUUUGACCCCCUCUGCUGCUUAUGACCUCUUGUUCUCUGCUGUCAAGAAAACCACUUUUUUUUUUUCUUUUGAGGAAAUUGAACAAAAUUAAAUGGAACUGUGUGGGCAGACAA
Marmota flaviventris (yellow-bellied marmot) is the source of this 2379-nucleotide long non-coding RNA. RefSeq lists it as uncharacterized. Lineage: Eukaryota; Metazoa; Chordata; Mammalia; Rodentia; Sciuridae. The record is from RefSeq and is a predicted model, not a curated record.